This 433-nucleotide ribosomal RNA is filed under the name uncultured bacterium. RNAcentral describes it as "partial 16S ribosomal RNA". It matches the Rfam family "Bacterial small subunit ribosomal RNA", at positions 29 to 507 of the family's 1533-position model. The record is from RNAcentral.
AACGAACGCUGGCGGCAUGCCUAACACAUGCAAGUCGAACGAGACCUUCGGGUCUAGUGGCGCACGGGGGCGUAACGCGUGGGAACCUGCCCUUAGGCUCGGAAUACCUCCCCGAAAGGGGUGCUAAUACCGGAUAAUGUCUUCGGACCAAAGAUUUAUCGCCUUUGGAUGGGCCCGCGUUGGAUUAGCUAGUUGGUAGGGUAAAAGCCUACCAAGGCGACGAUCCAUAGCUGGUCUGAGAGGAUGAUCAGCCACACUGGGACUGAGACACGGCCCAGACUCCUACGGGAGGGAGCAGUGGGGAAUAUUGGACAAUGGGGGAAAGCCUGAUCCAGCAAUGCCGGGUGAGUGAUGAAGGCGGUAGGGUUGUAAAGCUCUUUUACCCGGGACGAUAAUGACGGUACCGGGAGAAUAAGCACCGGCUAACUACGUG